CAGCCCAUACAGGAGGUGGACUGCAUACUGGAACUGCCUCACAUUGGAUGACAAAUUUGGUCCCCGUGCCAUCCAUGGAGGAGUUUCAGGAAGCCUACUCGACCUCUCUCCUUGCCGCGACCCAACCAUAAAAUGUUGGGGAUGGCGGAGAAGGAGAUGGAGUAUCGGGUCGAGCUUUGAACCUUUAUUGUGUUGAAUUCUUACUAGACACAGAACAAAAUUCGGCUCACAUGUUUCUUUAUGCUCUGAAUGUUCAACAGUUUUGAACCUUUAAGCUACUGUUUUGACAUUAAGUGGAUUACAUGAAUCAGUUUGAUACU
Non-coding RNA from Triticum urartu, 320 nucleotides. The record is from RefSeq and is a predicted model, not a curated record. NCBI's taxonomy places the organism in Eukaryota, Viridiplantae, Streptophyta, Magnoliopsida, Poales, Poaceae.